CCAAGCUUGGGCAGGAAGAGGGAAGGAAAGAGAAACUUUACGCCAAUCCCCCCCCUCCUCUGCUAACUUCCCCUCCCACCCUCGGGCCCUAACUAGCCCCGGGGACGCCUCCUCCCCACCAACGCAUCCAUCCCCAGAGGAACAAGCGAGGAUCUCAGAGCGCGACCUGGACAGGCUCUCACAAAAGUCACCGCGUUUGUGUAGGUAACUAAGGCCUACCGAAACCAGUCAGCCCUAAGUGCACACAGGAGAACCAUGGAGUUGGAGGAAAAGGUCCCAUACAGAGAGAAGAAACAGACAACCUGAAUCACAUUCAAAAGAGAGUCUCCACAAUAGUGAGGGCUGCAAAACCAGGUGACAUGAAAACCAAGAGAAUGAAUUACAUAGAUUUGUUUAACCUAAGGAAGAAAAGAUUCUGGACACGUGAGGGCCGAUUUUCAUUCCUCAGAGCUCUCUCCUUUGGAGGCUUCUUUGUUUGGGCCCCACUUCCAUUCUUCACAUUCAGCAGUUACUGGGAGACGACCUUACCAUGGCCUGUCCCUCCGUGUUCAUCCCAAUCGCAUCCAGAUGCCUCUCUGGCCUCAUCUCCUAGUGUUCCUGUGUCCGGAAUUGGUGGGUUCUUGGUCUCGCUAACUUCAACAAUGAAGCCUCGGACCCUGGCGGUGAGUGUUACAGUUCUUAAAGGCAGCGUGUCCGGAGUUUGUUCCUUCUGAUGUUUGGAUGUGUUCGGAGUUUCUUCCUUCUGGUGGGUUCAUGGUCUCCUU
This 764-nucleotide long non-coding RNA is filed under the name Homo sapiens (human). Its description in RNAcentral is "non-protein coding PCAT1:54". The record is from RNAcentral. Lineage: Eukaryota; Metazoa; Chordata; Mammalia; Primates; Hominidae.